CCUACGGGUGGCAGCAGUGGGGAAUAUUGGGCAAUGGGCGCAAGCCUGACCCAGCUACGCCGCGUGAAGGAAGAAGGCUUUCGGGUUGUAAACUUCUUUUAUCAGGGACGAAGCAAGUGACGGUAACUGAUGGAUAAGCUAAGGCUAACUACGUGCUAGCAGCCGCGGUAAUACGUAGGUGGCAAGCGUUAUCCGGAUUUACUGGGCGUAAAGGGCGUGUAGGCGGGAGUGCAAGUCAGAUGUGAAAACUAUGGGCUUAACCCAUAGCCUGCAUAUGAAACUGUACUGCUUGAGUGCUGGAGAGGCAGUCGGAAUUCCGUGUGUAGCGGUGAAAUGCGUAGAUAUACGGAGGAACACCAGUGGCGAAGGCGGAUUGCUGGACAGCAACUGACGCUGAGGCGCGAAAGCGUGGGGAGCAAACAGGAUUAGAUACCCGAGUAGUC
This 443-nucleotide ribosomal RNA is filed under the name uncultured bacterium. RNAcentral describes it as "partial 16S ribosomal RNA". It matches the Rfam family "Bacterial small subunit ribosomal RNA", at positions 338 to 795 of the family's 1533-position model. The record is from RNAcentral.